GACGAACGCUGGCGGCGUGCUUAACACAUGCAAGUCGAACGGAAAGGCCCUGCGUUUGUGGGGUGCUCGAGUGGCGAACGGGUGAGUAACACGUGAGUAACCUGCCCUUGACUUUGGGAUAACAUCAGGGAACUGGGGCUAAUACCGGAUAGGAGCUCCUGCUGCACGGUGGGGGAUGGAAAGUGUCGGCGGUUGGGGCUGGACUAGCGGGUUAUCCGCUUGAUGGUGGGGUAGUGGCUUACAAAGGCUUUGACGGGUAGCCGGCCUGAGAGGGUGACCGGCCACAUUGGGACUGAGAGACGGCCCAGACGCCUACGGGAGGCAGCAGGGGGGAAUAUUGCACAAUGGGCCGAAGCCUGAUGCAGCAACGCCGCGUGCGGGAUGACGGCCUUCGGGGUGUAAACCGCUUUCGCCUGUGACGAAGCGUGAGUGACGGUAAUGGGUAAAGAAGCACCGGCUAACUACGUG
RNAcentral lists this ribosomal RNA (468 nucleotides) under uncultured bacterium. Its description in RNAcentral is "partial 16S ribosomal RNA". It matches the Rfam family "Bacterial small subunit ribosomal RNA", at positions 28 to 507 of the family's 1533-position model. The record is from RNAcentral.